RNAcentral lists this ribosomal RNA (510 nucleotides) under uncultured bacterium. RNAcentral describes it as "partial 16S ribosomal RNA". It matches the Rfam family "Bacterial small subunit ribosomal RNA", at positions 28 to 507 of the family's 1533-position model. The record is from RNAcentral.
GACGAACGCUGGCGGCGUGCUUAACACAUGCAAGUCGAACGAAGAGCGAUGGAAGCUUGCUUCUAUCAAUCUUAGUGGCGAACGGGUGAGUAACGCGUAAUCAACCUGCCCUUCAGAGGGGGACAACAGUUGGAAACGACUGCUAAUACCGCAUACGAUCUAAACUCGGCAUCGAGGAUAGAUGAAAGGUGGCCUCUACAUGUAAGCUAUCACUGAAGGAGGGGAUUGCGUCUGAUUAGCUAGUUGGAGGGGUAACGGCCCACCAAGGCGAUGAUCAGUAGCCGGUCUGAGAGGAUGAACGGCCACAUUGGGACUGAGACACGGCCCAGACUCCUACGGGAGGCAGCAGUGGGGAAUCUUCCGCAAUGGACGAAAGUCUGACGGAGCAACGCCGCGUGAGCGAUGACGGCCUUCGGGUUGUAAAGCUCUGUUAAUCGGGACGAAAGGCCUUCUUGCGAAUAGUGAGAAGGAUUGACGGUACCGGAAUAGAAAGCCACGGCUAACUACGUG